RNAcentral lists this ribosomal RNA (253 nucleotides) under uncultured bacterium. RNAcentral describes it as "partial 16S ribosomal RNA". It matches the Rfam family "Bacterial small subunit ribosomal RNA", at positions 524 to 776 of the family's 1533-position model. The record is from RNAcentral.
UACGUAGGGGGCAAGCGUUGUCCGGAUUUAUUGGGUUUAAAGGGUGCGUAGGCGGCUUUUUAAGUCAGUGGUGAAAGACAACAGCUCAACUGUUGCAGUGCCAUUGAUACUGAAGAGCUUGAGUACAGAUGAGGUAGGCGGAAUUUAUGGUGUGGCGGUGAAAUGCAUAGAUACCAUAAAGAACACCUAUUGCGAAGGCAGCUUACUAAGCUGUAACUGACGCUGAGGCACGAAAGUGUGGGGAUCAAACAGG